Molecule: ribosomal RNA, 427 nt
Filed under: uncultured bacterium
Lineage: Bacteria
Description: partial 16S ribosomal RNA
Rfam family: Bacterial small subunit ribosomal RNA
Source: RNAcentral
GUGGGGAAUAUUGCGCAAUGGGGGAAACCCUGACGCAGCAAUACCGCGUGAGUGAAGAAGGUUUUCGGAUCGUAAAACUCUUUUAUUGGGGAAGAAGAAGUGACGGUACCCAAUGAAGAAGUCCCGGCUAACUACGUGCCAGCAGCCGCGGUAAUACGUAGGGGACAAGCGUUGUCCGGAAUCACUGGGCGUAAAGGGCGCGUAGGCGGUUUUAUAAGUCAGAUGUGAAAGGUACCGGCUCAACCGGUGACGUGCAUUUGAAACUGUAAGACUUGAGUACUGGAGAGGCAAGUGGAAUUCCUAGUGUAGCGGUGAAAUGCGUAGAUAUUAGGAGGAACACCGGUGGCGAAGGCGGCUUGCUGGACAGAUACUGACGCUGAGGUGCGAAAGCGUGGGGAGCGAACAGGAUUAGAAACCCCGGUAGUCC